Dicentrarchus labrax (European seabass) is the source of this 337-nucleotide long non-coding RNA. RefSeq lists it as uncharacterized. The transcript is spliced from 3 exons. The record is from RefSeq and is a predicted model, not a curated record. Lineage: Eukaryota; Metazoa; Chordata; Actinopteri; Moronidae.
GAGAUUGUUGUGGAGCUGGUUGGAGGUUUUGUGGUUUCUGGGUGGGACGACAACUAAAUGUUUCCAUCACACUGACAGCAGUACACGGAUACUAUAUUAUACUCGCUGUGGCGAGAAUCGAUUUCCCCUGGACCCUCCUGAAUGCAGAGAUGUCUAGGUUUUUGGAUCAGAGCUGUUUAUUCUGUCAUCCAUGGAUAGACUCAAUUGAAACACUCCACAUACACCAGUAUGCAAAGGCUCGAAUGGUCUUCACAUUGAGUGUCCGAACUCCUCUCACACGAAUCACCCAACGCCAAUGUUGCAGAGGCAAUUCUUUAAAUAAAGCAUGUUAAGUAUG